CUUCAAGAUUGUUAUAUUUUCAAAAUAUUUUGAAAUUUGUUUUUUUUUUCAAAAUAAUAAUAAUUUAAACACAUUAAUAUUAUAUUAUUUAUAUUAAUAUGCAUUCUUAACGGUGCUUUUGGUAUAAUUUAAACUGGGCUUUAAAAUGUACAUCAUUAACACAGCAGCCAUACCGCUGUACAACUUACAAUUAUAACUUUAUUAAUAAUUUUAGAGGGGUUAUAAGUGAUUUAGAGGGGAUAAAGCCCCGUAUCUCCCCAAUGUCCACCUACUGAGUGAUAGACUCGUAUACAUACUUCAUUACAGAUUUCUUUCCGUCAUUAAAAAUUCUCCAGAUGGUUCCACAACUUCAUUCCUACGAAUUCUAAAAUACUGAAGAUCAUUGGUUUUUAACUCCCCACAAUGUUCUCUGGAAUACGGUCCCGGCGAUUUAAAUAUAGUUGAUUAUAUUUUUCAUCCGUACGCAUGUGCAAU
This is a non-coding RNA of Cinara cedri, 474 nucleotides long. NCBI's taxonomy places the organism in Eukaryota, Metazoa, Arthropoda, Insecta, Hemiptera, Aphididae. The record is from the annotation of a GenBank genome assembly.